CAUCAAGAGUGAAGAGUGGACCUUAAAACCACCUAUAAAACCAUUCAACAAUUGUCUUUUAAAAGACAACCAAAUAAAUAUUUUGAAAAACAACUACUGGAAGAUAUCUCCUGAUUCAGAUUUAUGAGCAAGACAAUCGUGCUUCAAUGGUCAAAGUAGCUCUUCUGAGUGUGUUUCAUCAGUGACAUCAACGCCAUGUGGGUCAACAUCACUGAAUGAAACUGCUUCAAUACGAAAGCUUACAAGUGAAGAUAUACAGGGUGUAUAAAAAAAAUAGAAGAGAGGAUUUUGAUGGCGAGUAUGGUUAUCGAAUGAUUGAACUUUCAAACCUAGCAAGUGCAUUUCAGUCCUUGCAUAAUUGGGAAUUAGGUGGAGAGUUGAAAGUUACCAAUAAUUAGUCUCGUAGAUAUGGAAAUAACACAGUCAUUGUUGAGUCAGAUGUUGCAGAGAUUGCUGUGAGUUAUGAUGGCACAUGGGCUAAGCAAGGGUUCACUGCAAACUUUGGAAUUGAUUUUGUUAUUUCUGUUGACACUGGUGAGGUUCUUGACUAUGGUUUUGGAUCCAAAUUAUCGAAGUUUGACAUGGUCCCAUUUUUAUUAAAAUCGGUCAAGUAUUCGCACAGGAAUCGCAAAUUAAAAUCAGCAAACCACUUUGAAUUAUCACCGAAGUUUAUCGGCAUUAUCAUACCAUGUGAUCUUCUACGAUUGUCAGCAAAAUUGAAGAUUGUUCGAAGAAGAA
Long non-coding RNA from Dendronephthya gigantea, 738 nucleotides. RefSeq lists it as uncharacterized. Lineage: Eukaryota; Metazoa; Cnidaria; Anthozoa; Malacalcyonacea; Nephtheidae. The record is from RefSeq and is a predicted model, not a curated record. The transcript is spliced from 4 exons.